Molecule: long non-coding RNA, 1647 nt
Organism: Anser brachyrhynchus (Pink-footed goose)
Lineage: Eukaryota; Metazoa; Chordata; Aves; Anseriformes; Anatidae
Source: Ensembl
AAGAAAGAGUCUAAAACCCCAGAGUACACUUUCAAAAGCCGACACUUUUCCCACAAGACAGUUCAAAAAAUUACCAGAAGAGAAAGACCAUAGUCAAAAAUCAGCCACCGGCCUAUCUCACUUGGAUACGUGCAUCCAUGUGAGGAUAAGGAAGGAUACAUGAAGUCAAUCCUCACACCUGUAACUGUAGGCCUGAGCAGCUUUGAUGCUGACACCUAGAUAAGAACACAGUGAAAAGUAAAAUUGCUUCAUAAACUCAAUCUCAUCUGAGGAUUGUCAGGGGACACAGCGCAGUAACCCAGGUUAAGCUUCAGCUGCCUUGUCUCUGAGAAAUCAAUUGUCUGGCCGUAAUGCAACCACAAAGAAAACACAUCUUUAACUCAUUAAAGGCUUUUAAAUUGUCUAAUCAAUUAUGACUCAAUUACAUUUUUCUGAAGUCAAUAUUAGAUUAUGCCCCAAUGAAACAACUUUACAGUUUUUUUUUUCUUUGUUGAAGCAUCAAUUUUCUCUGCAGUUUUAGAAGAUUUGAAAUACUAGAGCCAGAGGAAUUUCUAUUUCUUUCCCUUGUUGCACUAUUUUAUCAUUUGGAAACCAACUUCAGAACCGUAGUUUUCAACCCAUAGUCUGAGGAAGUCUGGAAGGAGGAAGACUACUGUAGGGAAGACCGCAAAAAGCACUAUGAAAAGCAACCUUCUUGUUAGCAGGUUUCAGCCUGCUUUGUGAGAUUCGUUCUUUCCCUGAAAAAAAUGUUUUUAGGUUUGCACAUUGAGAGAGAGAGAAGAUUAUUACCCUGGAACAUCUUUUCCAUAGCAAGCAAGGUGGGAAGUUUCUUACCCUUGACAGACUCAUGUUCAGAAAAUGAAGGCCGUGUGUAGUGACCCCUCUCUGUGAAAGUUUCUGCACGUGCUUCACACAGUACUCCCGUGGCUGGACCAACUUGGGUGAGCAGAGCUGAGCCAGCACGUGGCCUCCAGCACAGACACUGCCGCUCACAAUGCUACUGAAAAAGCUUGAAGUAAAGGACAAGCAUGGAUCUCCUAGUUUUUGGGAUUCAGCUGCAUUCUACUACAAGCAGCUCUGGCAAAUAAUUCUUCUCCCAAGAGGACUGAGUUCCCACCUGUCACGUACCUGGAUUUUCUGCUUCUGGUGCUGGAUGUGUCCCACUGGUAGGCAGGGAGGAACCAAGAGAAAUGAAGCUGCAGAAUGUGCCUGGCAUUUUAUUUCGCAUCACCUGCAAAAUGGGCUAAAGCAACUAUUCUGGCUGGUUUUAACUGAUUUCUUUUAUGUGUGCAGUUAGCGCAGUAGAGAGAAGCAUUGGCAUUUUAGGUUUCCAGCACGUGAAAUCUGCAGUCUUGCAAGUUGGAGUCUUUUAAAUGGAAAGCAAGAGAGUAAUCAGUGGUUCACGGUGAAAGAAUGACUUCUGGGAGCAGAUAUUCAAGUCUCUUAGGUCUGGAUCAACCAAGCAAAUCAAGGUAAAACCCAGAGGGACAAAUAUACUGCGCAGAUCUGCUUAGGAAGCAUCCUUUUAUAGAAACAAACGGGGAGGUAAAGCACGGUGCUUUAAAAGUGCAUUAAGCGUACUUUAUUCCUCAGCUCAGAGUUAAUUCAAGCAAUAAACUCACUGCUUUCACACUUGCUAAAGCUUCC